AGCAACAAAUGCCCUGCUUCCAGGAAAAGCCUCUAAGCCUCAGGUAACAUCAAAUCGUACCCCAAACCGACACAGGUGGUCAGGUAGAGAAUACCAAGGCGCUUGAGAGAACUCGGGUGAAGGAACUAGGCAAAAUGGUGCCGUAACUUCGGGAGAAGGCACGCUGACACGUAGGUGAAGUGGUUUACCCAUGGAGCUGAAGUCAGUCGAAGAUACCAGCUGGCUGCAACUGUUUAUUAAAAACACAGCACUGUGCAAACACGAAAGUGGACGUAUACGGUGUGACGCCUGCCCGGUGCCGGAAGGUUAAUUGAUGGGGUCAGCGCAAGCGAAGCUCCUGAUCGAAGCCCCGGUAAACGGCGGCCGUAACUAUAACGGUCCUAAGGUAGCGAAAUUCCUUGUCGGGUAAGUUCCGACCUGCACGAAUGGCGUAAUGAUGGCCAGGCUGUCUCCACCCGGGACUCAGUGAAAUUGAACUCGCUGUGAAGAUGCAGUGUACCCGCGGCAAGACGGAAAGACCCCGUGAACCUUUACUAUAGCUUGACACUGAACACUGGUCCUUGAUGUGCAGGAUAGGUGGGAGGCUUUGAAGUGUGGACGCCAGUCUGCAUGGAGCCAUCCUUGAAAUACCACCCUUUAAUGGCUGGUGUUCUAACGUGGGCCCGUGAACCGGGUUGCGGACAGUGUCUGGUGGGUAGUUUGACUGGGGCGGUCUCCUCCUAAAGAGUAACGGAGGAGCACGAAGGUUGGCUAAUCCUGGUCGGACAUCAGGAGGUUAGUGCAAUGGCAUAAGCCAGCUUGACUGCGAGCGUGACGGCGCGAGCAGGUGCGAAAGCAGGUCAUAGUGAUCCGGUGGUUCUGAAUGGAAGGGCCAUCGCUCAACGGAUAAAAGGUACUCCGGGGAUAACAGGCUGAUACCGCCCAAGAGUUCAUAUCGACGGCGGUGUUUGGCACCUCGAUGUCGGCUCAUCACAUCCUGGGGCUGAAGUAGGUCCCAAGGGUAUGGCUGUUCGCCAUUUAAAGUGGUACGCGAGCUGGGUUUAGAACGUCGUGAGACAGUUCGGUCCCUAUCUGCCGUGGGCGCUGGAAGAUUGAGGGGGGCUGCUCCUAGUACGAGAGGACCGGAGUGGACGCAUCACUGGUGUUCGGGUUGUCAUGCCAAUGGCACUGCCCGGUAGCUACAUGCGGAAGAGAUAAGUGCUGAAAGCAUCUAAGCACGAAACUUGCCCCGAGAUGAAUCUUCCCUGAGCCUUUAAGGCUCCUGAAGGAACGUUGAAGACGACGACGUUGAUAGGCCGGGUGUGUAAGCGCAGCGAUGCGUUGAGCUAACCGGUACUAAUGAACCGUGAGGCUUAACCUUACAACGCCGAAG
This 1372-nucleotide ribosomal RNA is filed under the name Salmonella enterica. RNAcentral describes it as "partial 23S ribosomal RNA". It matches the Rfam family "Bacterial large subunit ribosomal RNA", at positions 1589 to 2925 of the family's 2925-position model. Lineage: Bacteria; Pseudomonadati; Pseudomonadota; Gammaproteobacteria; Enterobacterales; Enterobacteriaceae. RNAcentral also lists the same sequence under 2 other names. The record is from RNAcentral.